Molecule: ribosomal RNA, 253 nt
Filed under: uncultured bacterium
Lineage: Bacteria
Description: partial 16S ribosomal RNA
Rfam family: Bacterial small subunit ribosomal RNA
Source: RNAcentral
UACGUAGGGGGCUAGCGUUGCUCGGAAUCACUGGGCGUAAAGGGUGCGUAGGCGGGCCUUUAAGUCAGGGGUGAAAUCCUGGAGCUCAACUCCAGAACUGCCUUUGAUACUGAAGAUCUUGAGUCCGGGAGAGGUGAGUGGAACUGCGAGUGUAGAGGUGAAAUUCGUAGAUAUUCGCAAGAACACCAGUGGCGAAGGCGGCUCACUGGCCCGGUACUGACGCUGAGGCACGAAAGCGUGGGGAGCAAACAGG